CCUACGGGAGGCUGCAGUGAGGGAUAUUGGUCAAUGGGGGAAACCCUGAACCAGCAACGCCGCGUGAGGGAAGACGGUUUUCGGAUUGUAAACCUCUGUCCUCUGUGAAGAUAAUGACGGUAGCAGAGGAGGAAGCCCCGGCUAACUACGUGCCAGCAGCCGCGGUAAUACGUAGGGGGCAAGCGUUAUCCGGAUUUACUGGGUGUAAAGGGAGCGCAGGCGGCGUGGCAAGUCAGAUGUGAAAACCCGGGGCCCAACCCCGGGAGUGCAUUUGAAACUGCCAUGUUGGAGUGCCGGAGAGGUAAGCGGAAUUCCUAGUGUAGCGGUGAAAUGCGUAGAUAUUAGGAGGAACACCAGUGGCGGUGGCGGCUUACUGGACGGUAACUGACGCUGAGGCUCGAAAGCGUGGGGAGCAAACAGGAUUAGAUACCCGAGUAGUC
This 440-nucleotide ribosomal RNA is filed under the name uncultured bacterium. RNAcentral describes it as "partial 16S ribosomal RNA". It matches the Rfam family "Bacterial small subunit ribosomal RNA", at positions 338 to 795 of the family's 1533-position model. The record is from RNAcentral.